Molecule: transfer RNA, 69 nt
Filed under: Ictidomys tridecemlineatus (thirteen-lined ground squirrel)
Lineage: Eukaryota; Metazoa; Chordata; Mammalia; Rodentia; Sciuridae
Description: Spermophilus tridecemlineatus (thirteen-lined ground squirrel) tRNA
Rfam family: tRNA
About the family: Transfer RNA (tRNA) molecules are approximately 80 nucleotides in length. Their secondary structure includes four short double-helical elements and three loops (D, anti-codon, and T loops).
Source: Rfam by way of RNAcentral
GGGGUUGUGGCUCAGUGGUAGUGCACUUGCCUGGCAUGCAUGAGGCACUGGGUUUGAUUCUCGGCACCA